Molecule: transfer RNA, 75 nt
Filed under: Ruminococcus bromii
Lineage: Bacteria; Bacillati; Bacillota; Clostridia; Eubacteriales; Oscillospiraceae
Also listed under: 3 other names
Description: tRNA-Lys
Rfam family: tRNA
About the family: Transfer RNA (tRNA) molecules are approximately 80 nucleotides in length. Their secondary structure includes four short double-helical elements and three loops (D, anti-codon, and T loops).
Source: RNAcentral
GACUCAUUAGCUCAGUUGGCAGAGCACUUGACUUUUAAUCAAGGUGUCCGGAGUUCGAUCUCCGAUGGGUCACCA